UUGUAAUAAUAACCCAAAGGUGGAAAUAAAUCCAAAUGCUCAUCAACUGGGGAACAGAGAGAUAAUCAAAAGGAACAGACUGCAGAAACAGCGUGGUUGAAUCUCACAAAUAUUGGGUCUGGUGUAAAAAAUCCAGACACAAAUGAGUCUAUGAUGUGAGUUUCCAUUUACAUGAAGUUCAAAAAUAGGUAAAAUUGAUUUAUGUAGUAGUUAGAAUAGUGGUUAUCUUAGGAGAUUAUCUAUCUGCCUAUGAUGUGCAGUACAAAGGGGCCAGUUUGGAGCCUGGGAACGUUCUUUAUCUUGUUCUGGGUGCUGGUUAUAUGGGUGUAUACAUAAAAAUUUGAGUUACCCACUUCAGAAAAGUUGCUGUUCUUGAAGUUCUGUUUGUACUAUGAAAGAUGUUUAAGAUCUUGAAGAAAUACGUAUCUUUAUUGUUCUGUCAUGUUACUUAAAUAAGGGAAAAAUAAUCCUAUGCAAUUCAGUCAUUGUGGAAGAAAAUUUAACUACAGUUUCAUUACUUCUAACUGCUAAAAGUCUUAUUAUUAAAGUAUAACAUGUUGAAGCAAUUUCCCAUUAGGAGAUAAAAACAUAAGCCUAAUUCUAAUGAUGAAUCCACCUAUUACCCUAUUUGAUUUUAGGUGAUAGCUAAAUAUUUGUUCAAGUAUUUUAUUCUUGAAGUCCAGAGUGGGCUACAGGAAGUUAGGUGCAGCAUUUAACCAGCUUGGGUCUGUUACUUUAUGCUGAAGGAGCAAGUGAAGGAACUUUUGAGAAAUGAAGUGCCAGUGUUUUUACAACGACUUGUUCGCCAUUAAAAAAGAAAGAAAGAAAAGAAAAGAAACCUAUUCCUUUUAAAGAAUGCAAGUCUGGCCAAACAUCAGGAUGUUGCUACAUUGAGAAAACAAUCAGAGAUAAAGCCACAACAAAGUUUCUUUGAUCCCAGAAUGUCAAGGAACUGAAUGAGAAUAAGGCCUGAGACAUGACCAGGCACAGGGGAGAGGAAGCAUCAUCAGAGAAGAAGAAAGUUUUUUGUUUUUUUUUUUUUUUUUUUUUUUAAUUUCUUGAGCUUGUGCUAAUAAGCUAUACCUAGAAAUGCUGAUUUUAUCAGAAGGUUUGGAAACAAAUUUAUUCAGUGAAUGUUUAUUGAGCCCUUAUUAUGUACCCAGUUCAAUUGUAGGCAUUUGAGAUAACAGCACCAAACAGAAGAGACAAAACGUAUUGCCCUUAUAGAACAUAUAUUCUGAAGGGAGGGUUGUGAACAUGAAUUCAUACACAUGUUAUCAUGUUGCAGGUUGCUAUGUUUCUUAUUUGGCCAUGUAUUAACUAAAUAUAUGUUCUGGAACUUCUGGAUUAAUGCUACUGCCAAAGCCCCAUUUCCCUCUAAUGAGAUCCUCCUCAGUACUUUAAUAAUAAAGUCUUAUGUAUGAAUCAAGUUUGAUCUGUCUUGAUAAGAGGUAGAGAAUAGAAUAAGAAAUAGAUCCAAGUCAUAUGGGUACUUAGGACAGUGGUAUAUCUUACAGAAAGGAGUAAUGGUAUUGGAUCCUAAAGUCAGUGUAGAUGAGAGAUGAAAUUAGUAAGUAGAGAAAAAUAGUAGAAAGAAUAAAAACCAGAGUUCCCGUUGUGGCUCAGUGGUAAUGAACCUGACUAAUAUCCAUGACGAUGUGGGUUCGAUCCCUGGCCUCAAUCAGUGGGGUUAAGGAUCUGGCGUUGCCAUGAGCUGUGGUGUAGGUUGCAGACAUGGCUCAGAUCCAGCAUUGCUGUGGCUUUGGUGUAGCUGUGGUUACAGAGCUGUGGUUGCAGCUCUAAGUUGACCCUUAGCCUGGGAACUUCCAUAUGCCUCAUGUAAGGCCCUAAAAAGACAACAAAAAAA
This 1867-nucleotide long non-coding RNA is filed under the name Sus scrofa (pig). RNAcentral describes it as "lncRNA (ENSSSCG00055018796.1)". The record is from RNAcentral. Lineage: Eukaryota; Metazoa; Chordata; Mammalia; Artiodactyla; Suidae.